This 253-nucleotide ribosomal RNA is filed under the name uncultured bacterium. RNAcentral's name for it is "partial 16S ribosomal RNA". It matches the Rfam family "Bacterial small subunit ribosomal RNA", at positions 524 to 776 of the family's 1533-position model. The record is from RNAcentral.
UACGGAGGGGGCUAGCGUUGUUCGGAAUUACUGGGCGUAAAGCGCGCGUAGGCGGCUUUGUAAGUUAGAGGUGAAAGCCCGGAGCUUAACUCCGGAACUGCCUUUAAGACUGCAUCGCUAGAAUUGUGGAGAGGUGAGUGGAAUUCCGAGUGUAGAGGUGAAAUUCGUAGAUAUUCGGAAGAACACCGGUGGCGAAGGCGGCCAACUGGACCACAACUGACGCUGAGGCGCGAAAGCGUGGGGAGCAAACAGG